GGAGUUAGCCGGUGCUUCUUCUGUGAGUGAUGUCCUUCCUGCCGGCUAUUAACCCGCAGGCCUUCUUCCUCACUGAAAGUGCUUUACAACCCGAAGGCCUUCUUCACACACGCGGCAUGGCUGGAUCAGGGUUGCCCUCAUUGUCCAAUAUUCCCCACUGCUGCCUCCCGUAGGAGUCUGGGCCGUGUCUCAGUCCCAGUGUGGCUGAUCAUCCUCUCAGACCAGCUACGGAUCGUCGCCUUGGUGAGCCGUUACCUCACCAACCAGCUAAUCCGACAUAGGCUCAUCCGAUAGCGCGAGGCCCGAAGGUCACCCGCUUUCCCCCGUAGGGCGUAUGCGGUAUUAGCCUGGGUUUCCCCAGGUUAUCCCCCACUACCGGGCAGAUUCCUAUGCAUUACUCACCCGUCCGCCGCUCGCCACCAGGGAGCAAGCUCCCCGUGCUGCCGCUCGACUUGCAUGUGUUAGGCCUGCCGCCAGCGUUCAAUCUGAGCCAUGAUCAAACUCUGA
RNAcentral lists this ribosomal RNA (507 nucleotides) under uncultured bacterium. RNAcentral describes it as "partial 16S ribosomal RNA". The record is from RNAcentral.